This 743-nucleotide ribosomal RNA is filed under the name uncultured bacterium. Its description in RNAcentral is "bacterial SSU rRNA". It matches the Rfam family "Bacterial small subunit ribosomal RNA", at positions 8 to 796 of the family's 1533-position model. The record is from RNAcentral.
AGAGUUUGAUCAUGGCUCAGAGCGAACGCUGGCGGCAGGCCUAACACAUGCAAGUCGAGCGGGCGUAGCAAUACGUCAGCGGCAGACGGGAGAGUAACACGUGGGAACGCGCCCUUCGGUUCGGAAUAACUCAGGGAAACUUGAGCUAAUACCGGAUACGCCCUUACGGGGAAAGAUUUAUCGCCGAAGGAACGGCCCGCGUCCGAUUAGCUUGUUGGUGAGGUAACGGCUCACCAAGGCGACGAUCGGUAGCUGGUCUAAGAGGAUGAUCAGCCUCACUGGGACUGAGACACGGCCCAGACUCCUACGGGAGGCAGCAGUGGGGAAUAUUGGACAAUGGGCGCAAGCCUGAUCCAGCCAUGCCGCGUGAGUGAUGAAGGCCCUAGGGUUGUAAAGCUCUUUCAGCGGGGAAGAUAAUGACGGUACCCGCAGAAGAAGCCCCGGCUAACUUCGUGCCAGCAGCCGCGGUAAUACGAAGGGGGCUAGCGUUGCUCGGAAUUACUGGGCGUAAAGCGCACGUAGGCGGCUUGUUAAGUCGGGGGUGAAAUCCUGGAGCUCAACUCCAGAACUGCCUUCGAUACUGGCGAGCUUGAGUCCGGGAGAGGUGAGUGGAACUGCGAGUGUAGAGGUGAAAUUCGUAGAUAUUCGCAAGAACACCAGUGGCGAAGGCGGCUCACUGGCCCGGUACUGACGCUGAGGUGCGAAAGCGUGGGGGCAAACAGGAUUAGAUACCCUAGUAGUCC